AUUGUACAUUUGAUGAUCGCCUAGUCUCUCUUGAGAGGCUGGGAGGAAAGUCCGAGCUUCCCCACACCCUUCUCGAAGGGUGGGGAAAAAGGUAGUGGAUAACGUCCACCCUCUUUAUCUGUAAAGAUAUUGGGCGGGAAAGUGCCACAGAGACUAUACUAGUCCCGACUUGUCGGGAUAAAAGGUGAAAAGUAGUUUGAUAUCAUUUACUCUCGAGAUAAAUGGUUACAAGCUUCGACUCUCAGUGAUGAGAUGUCGUGGUAAACCCUACCUGAAGAAAGAGCAGCCUUGCUACGCUACGCUACGCCAGGUAAACUAAAAGUAGUUUAUCAGGCGUAGCGUAUGCGGAGCCUGGAAAAGUUGGUUCGUUUGAAUCGGUAAGUAAUUAUCGAUCUAGAUAAAUGAUCAUCGUCUCGAUUUAUCGAGAUUACAGAAUUCGGCUUAUAAAUGUAGAAUGAAC
This 460-nucleotide RNase P RNA is filed under the name Candidatus Magasanikbacteria bacterium CG_4_10_14_0_2_um_filter_33_14. RNAcentral's name for it is "RNase P RNA component class A". It matches the Rfam family "Bacterial RNase P class A". Rfam says of the family: Ribonuclease P (RNase P) is a ubiquitous endoribonuclease, found in archaea, bacteria and eukarya as well as chloroplasts and mitochondria. Its best characterised activity is the generation of mature 5'-ends of tRNAs by cleaving the 5'-leader elements of precursor-tRNAs. Cellular RNase Ps are ribonucleoproteins. The record is from RNAcentral. Lineage: Bacteria; Candidatus Magasanikiibacteriota.